Molecule: ribosomal RNA, 468 nt
Filed under: uncultured bacterium
Lineage: Bacteria
Description: partial 16S ribosomal RNA
Rfam family: Bacterial small subunit ribosomal RNA
Source: RNAcentral
GACGAACGCUGGCGGCGUGCUUAACACAUGCAAGUCGAACGGAAAGGCCCUGCUUUUGUGGGGUGCUCGAGUGGCGAACGGGUGAGUAACACGUGAGUAACCUGUCCUUGACUUAGGGAUAACUUCAGGAAACUGGGGCUAUUACCGGAUAGGAGCUCCUGCUGCAUGGUGGGGGUUGGAAAGUUUCGGCGGUUGGGGAUGGACUCGCGGCUUAUCAGCUUGUUGGUGGGGUAGUGGCUUACCAAGGCUUUGACGGGUAGCCGGCCUGAGAGGGUGACCGGCCACAUUAGGACUGGGAUACGGCCCAGACUCCUACGGGAGGCAGCAGUGGGGAGUAUUGCACAAUGGGCGGAAGCCUGAUGCAGCAACGCCGCGUGCGGGAUGACGGCCUUCGGGUUGUAAACCACUUUCGCCUGUGACGAAGCGUGAGUGACGGUAAUGGGUAAAGAAGCACCGGCUAACUACGUG